ACGCACGCUGGCGGCGUGCUUCACACAUGCAAGUCGCACGGAAAGGCCCUGCUUUUGUGGGGUGCUCGAGUGGCGAACGGGUGAGUAACACGUGAGUAACCUGCCCUUGACUUUGGGAUAACUUCAGGAAACUGGGGCUAAUACCGGAUAGGAGCUCCUGCUGCAUGGUGGGGGUGGGAAAGUUUCGGCGGUUGGGGAUGGACUCGCGGCUUAUCAGCUUGUUGGUGGGGUAGUGGCUUACCAAGGCUUUGACGGGUAGCCGGCCUGAGAGGGUGACCGGCCACAUUGGGACUGAGAUACGGCCCAGACUCCUACGGGAGGCAGCAGUGGGGAAUAUUGCACAAUGGGCGGAAGCCUGAUGCAGCAACGCCGCGUGCGGGAUGACGGCCUUCGGGUUGUAAACCGCUUUCGCCUGUGACGAAGCGUGAGUGACGGUAAUGGGUAAAGAAGCACCGGCUAACUACGUG
This 467-nucleotide ribosomal RNA is filed under the name uncultured bacterium. RNAcentral's name for it is "partial 16S ribosomal RNA". It matches the Rfam family "Bacterial small subunit ribosomal RNA", at positions 29 to 507 of the family's 1533-position model. The record is from RNAcentral.